RNAcentral lists this ribosomal RNA (470 nucleotides) under uncultured bacterium. RNAcentral describes it as "bacterial SSU rRNA". It matches the Rfam family "Bacterial small subunit ribosomal RNA", at positions 30 to 502 of the family's 1533-position model. The record is from RNAcentral.
AUUGAACGCUGGCGGCAUGGCUAAAACAUGCAAGUCGAACGAGAACCUCGCAAGAGGGGACAGUGGCGGAAGGGUCAGUAAUGGGAUCGAACGCACCCAGAGGUGGAGGAUAGCGUUGGGAAACUGACGGUAAUACUCCAUGUCCUCUACGGAGAAAAGAUUUAUCGCCUUUGGAGCGGCGAUCCUCCUAUCAGGUAGUUGGCGGGGUAAAAGCCCACCAAGCCGAAGACGGGUAGCGGGUGUGAGAGGACGACCAGCCACACUGGGACUGAGACACGGUCCAGACACCUACGGGAGGCAGCAGUGGGGAAUUUUGGACAAUGGGGGGCAACCCUGAUCCAGCAAUGCCGCGUGAGUGAAGAAGGCCUUCGGGUUGUUAAAGGACUCUUUUGUUCUAGGGAAGAAACGGUAGAGUUCUAAUAAAGACUUGUUAAUUAGACGGUACCUGAAGAAUAAGACACCGGCUAACU